This 118-nucleotide small nuclear RNA is filed under the name Aotus nancymaae (Ma's night monkey). RNAcentral's name for it is "U11 spliceosomal RNA (ENSANAG00000002423.1)". It matches the Rfam family "U11 spliceosomal RNA", at positions 39 to 134 of the family's 134-position model. The record is from Rfam by way of RNAcentral. Lineage: Eukaryota; Metazoa; Chordata; Mammalia; Primates; Aotidae.
CCACUGCACUCCAGUCUGGGCGACAGAGCAAGACUCCAUGUGGAGUCGAUAUCAAGAGAUUUCAGAAGCACAAUUUUUGGAACUUGGGCAGCUGGUGAUCAUUGGUCCUGGCAUCUUU